This is a non-coding RNA of Pelobates cultripes (western spadefoot toad), 1214 nucleotides long. The record is from the annotation of a GenBank genome assembly. Lineage: Eukaryota; Metazoa; Chordata; Amphibia; Anura; Pelobatidae.
UGUGUUUUGGUGACUAUAGUGUCCCUUUUAACUGCCCAUAUUUGUUUGUGACAACACUGAAAUUGUCAAACUAGGUCAUGCCCAUCAGGCAUGAAACAGGACUUUUGUCCAUUACUGUGUUAAAUUAAAAGUUACUUCCCCUCAAACCACAGGGGCUGUAGCGGCAGCGUAUGCUUCUGUAACCGUUCUUGGGCUUGAAGUCAAGUUUUAAAAAACAGAACCUGCAGCUGGGGACCAGACUCAUUACUUCCUAAAACUAACCCAGAAGAGGCUGACAAUGUCAGGGUGUUAUUGGCCUUGCAUGAUCCAGCAGCUGGCAGCAAUGUUAACAGUGGAUGCACACGUUAAUCCAGCAUUUACUCACAGUGUUUAGCAUGGCUACAGAGACUCCGAUUGGACCUUUGGAAACUAUUGUUAAUAUAUUACAGAUCAAGGCUGAAUCAGAAUUAAAAAAUCCUAGUGAACACUGGGAGCAAUAUGCACAUUCUGUAAGGCGCCCGCCUUACUUUGCUACAAUUUAUCAUCUUUAGCUCAUCCAAAAUAGCAUUCUGUCUGAAUAUUGUCAUGCACAGAUAAUGCAUGUAUUAGAGCUGUCCAAAAGGUAGAUCCCAAGAGGUUUCAAAACUACAGCUUCCAUGAUGCUUUGUCAUUUUAAAGGCAUUUAUAACAUCAUGGGAGUUGUAGUUCUACAGCAUCUGGGGAUCUGCCUCUUUUGGGGGCCCCCUGAUGUAGACCAUGAAGUGUAACGUAAAAUGGGUUCACAAUGCAAUUUACAUGGUUCACAUGAAUGUACGGACUGACAUCUGACAGCAGAGCCAGAUUAAUAUUGCCCAUGGCAGGAUUCCUAUCUGAGACCCCCUCCUGGAGCGCUGGAUUUCUGAGUGUUAUAUGUGUGGAGGAAGCUGGGCUUUAUAGGAGGAGGCUUAGUGUGCCUGGUUGAGCUCUGUGUGUUGUUUUCACAGUUUGUGCCUAGGAGUGUCUGAGGGAAAUUAUUUAAUUUGUCAUCCAAAUACUUACCAUUUGACAGGAGGGAUGUAAUCCAGAGUGGUCCAGUGGGGACACACUGAGGCACUGGAUUCCUGGUGGUCCAGUGGAAGAGUGACAUUCGGCACUCCAGAUGUUGUAGGCUACAUCUCCCCAGGUACCAGCGCUGCGGAAAUUGUUGGCGCUUUAUAUAUAAUAAGCUUUAUAGCAGAUACUGUCAACAUCUGCCC